Molecule: ribosomal RNA, 1393 nt
Filed under: Salmonella enterica subsp. enterica serovar Typhimurium
Lineage: Bacteria; Pseudomonadati; Pseudomonadota; Gammaproteobacteria; Enterobacterales; Enterobacteriaceae
Description: partial 23S ribosomal RNA
Rfam family: Bacterial large subunit ribosomal RNA
Source: RNAcentral
CCCUUCGGGGUGUGACUGCGUACCUUUUGUAUAAUGGGUCAGCGACUUAUAUUCUGUAGCAAGGUUAACCGUAUAGGGGAGCCGGAGGGAAACCGAGUCUUAACCGGGCGUUAAGUUGCAGGGUAUAGACCCGAAACCCGGUGAUCUAGCCAUGGGCAGGUUGAAGGUUGGGUAACACUAACUGGAGGACCGAACCGACUAAUGUUGAAAAAUUAGCGGAUGACCUGUGGCUGGGGGUGAAAGGCCAAUCAAACCGGGAGAUAGCUGGUUCUCCCCGAAAGCUAUUUAGGUAGCGCCUCGUGAAUUCAUCUCCGGGGGUAGAGCACUGUUUCGGCUAGGGGGCCAUCCCGGCUUACCAACCCGAUGCAAACUGCGAAUACCGGAGAAUGUUAUCACGGGAGACACACGGCGGGUGCUAACGUCCGUCGUGAAGAGGGAAACAACCCAGACCGCCAGCUAAGGUCCCAAAGUCAUGGUUAAGUGGGAAACGAUGUGGGAAGGCCCAGACAGCCAGGAUGUUGGCUUAGAAGCAGCCAUCAUUUAAAGAAAGCGUAAUAGCUCACUGGUCGAGUCGGCCUGCGCGGAAGAUGUAACGGGGCUAAACCAUGCACCGAAGCUGCGGCAGCGAACGUAUCACCCAAGACAACUUUACGGAGUUGACGAUUGACGGAGCGAAGCGACGUCAAAGCGUUCAUUAAAGUCGAGUUGGCUUAGGGAUACGUUCGUUGGGUAGGGGAGCGUUCUGUAAGCCUGUGAAGGUGUGUCGUGAGGCAUGCUGGAGGUAUCAGAAGUGCGAAUGCUGACAUAAGUAACGAUAAAGCGGGUGAAAAGCCCGCUCGCCGGAAGACCAAGGGUUCCUGUCCAACGUUAAUCGGGGCAGGGUGAGUCGACCCCUAAGGCGAGGCCGAAAGGCGUAGUCGAUGGGAAACGGGUUAAUAUUCCCGUACUUGGUGUUACUGCGAAGGGGGGACGGAGAAGGCUAUGUUGGCCGGGCGACGGUUGUCCCGGUUUAAGCGUGUAGGUGUGUGUUCCAGGUAAAUCCGGUUCACUUUAACACUGAGGCGUGACGACGAGGCACUACGGUGCUGAAGCAACAAAUGCCCUGCUUCCAGGAAAAGCCUCUAAGCAUCAGGUAACAUCAAAUCGUACCCCAAACCGACACAGGUGGUCAGGUAGAGAAUACCAAGGCGCUUGAGAGAACUCGGGUGAAGGAACUAGGCAAAAUGGUGCCGUAACUUCGGGAGAAGGCACGCUGACACGUAGGUGAAGUGAUUUACUCAUGGAGCUGAAGUCAGUCGAAGAUACCAGCUGGCUGCAACUGUUUAUUAAAAACACAGCACUGUGCAAACACGAAAGUGGACGUAUACGGUGUGACGCCUGCCCGGUGCCGGAA